GCCGGGGUGGCGGAAUUGGUAGACGCACACGACUCAAAAUCGUGCGGACUUUGUCCAUGAGAGUUCGAUUCUCUCCUCCGGCA
This 83-nucleotide transfer RNA is filed under the name Candidatus Kerfeldbacteria bacterium RIFOXYA2_FULL_38_24. Its description in RNAcentral is "tRNA-Leu". It matches the Rfam family "tRNA". Rfam says of the family: Transfer RNA (tRNA) molecules are approximately 80 nucleotides in length. The record is from RNAcentral. Lineage: Bacteria; Candidatus Kerfeldiibacteriota. RNAcentral also lists the same sequence under 2 other names.